This 105-nucleotide small RNA is filed under the name Salmonella enterica. Its description in RNAcentral is "partial RtT sRNA". It matches the Rfam family "RtT RNA", at positions 1 to 101 of the family's 130-position model. From Rfam's summary of the family: This family represents a bacterial cis-regulatory element known as RtT RNA. The exact function of RtT is unknown although it is thought that it may be involved in changing the cellular response in relation to amino acid starvation. Lineage: Bacteria; Pseudomonadati; Pseudomonadota; Gammaproteobacteria; Enterobacterales; Enterobacteriaceae. The record is from RNAcentral.
UGUAUCUGAAGCCUGAAGAGGAUGAGAACCUCCGGGGGCAAGAGGUUCGACUCGAGCGAAGCGAGAGAACGUUGCAUCAGCAACGGCCCGCAGGGCGAGCCACGC